AAAGUCGUAACAAGGUUUCCGUAGGUGAACCUGCGGAAGGAUCAUUACAGAGUUCAUGCCCUCCGGGGCAGACCUCCCACCCUUUGUAUACAUUGCCUUUGUUGCUUUGGCGGGCCGCCGCAAGGCCACCGGCUCCGGCUGGUGCGCGCCCGCCAGAGGACCCCAAACCCUGUCUUACAGUGUCGUCCGAGUACUAUACAAUAGUUAAAACUUUCAACAACGGAUCUCUUGGUUCUG
This 237-nucleotide unclassified non-coding RNA is filed under the name Ascomycota sp. Its description in RNAcentral is "partial contains small subunit ribosomal RNA, internal transcribed spacer 1, and 5.8S ribosomal RNA". The stretch from base 1 to 47 matches the Rfam family "Eukaryotic small subunit ribosomal RNA", at positions 1785 to 1831 of the family's 1831-position model. Lineage: Eukaryota; Fungi; Ascomycota. The record is from RNAcentral.